This 578-nucleotide ribosomal RNA is filed under the name Lactobacillus sp. DumLac25. RNAcentral's name for it is "bacterial SSU rRNA". It matches the Rfam family "Bacterial small subunit ribosomal RNA", at positions 49 to 596 of the family's 1533-position model. Lineage: Bacteria; Bacillati; Bacillota; Bacilli; Lactobacillales; Lactobacillaceae. The record is from RNAcentral.
UAAUACAUGCAAGUCGAACGAAACUUUCUUACACCGAAUGCUUGCAUUCACCGUAAGAAGUUGAGUGGCGGACGGGUGAGUAACACGUGGGUAACCUGCCUAAAAGAAGGGGAUAACACUUGGAAACAGGUGCUAAUACCGUAUAUCUCUAAGAGAUCGCAUGAUCCUUAGAUGAAAGAUGGUUCUGCUAUCGCUUUUAGAUGGACCCGCGGCGUAUUAACUAGUUGGUGGGGUAACGGCCUACCAAGGUGAUGAUACGUAGCCGAACUGAGAGGUUGAUCGGCCACAUUGGGACUGAGACACGGCCCAACUCCUACGGGAGGCAGCAGUAGGGAAUCUUCCACAAUGGACGCAAGUCUGAUGGAGCAACGCCGCGUGAGUGAAGAAGGUCUUCGGAUCGUAAAACUCUGUUGUUAGAGAAGAACACGAGUGAGAGUAACUGUUCAUUCGAUGACGGUAUCUAACCAGCAAGUCACGGCUAACUACGUGCCAGCAGCCGCGGUAAUACGUAGGUGGCAAGCGUUGUCCGGAUUUAUUGGGCGUAAAGGGAACGCAGGCGGUCUUUUAAGUCUGAUGUG